AGGACGAACGCUGGCGGCGCGCCUAAAACAUGCAAGUCGAACGUGAAGCCCGGAGCUUGCUCUGGGUGGAAAGUGGCGAACGGGUGAGGAACACGUGAGAAACCUGCCCUGGAGACCGGGAUAACACCGGGAAACCGGUGCUAAUACCGGAUGCCCUCAUCGGACCGCAUGAUCCGAUGAGGAAAUGGAUUCGCUCCAGGAUGGUCUCGCGGCCUAUCAGCUUGUUGGUGAGGUAACGCUCACCAAGGCUUCGACGGGUAGCUGGUCUGAGAGGAUGUCCAGCCACACUGGGACUGAAGACACGGCCCAGACUCCUACGGGAGCAGCAGUUAGGAUCUGCGCAAUGGGACGAAAGCCUAGACGCAGCGACGCCGCGUGCGGGAUAGAAGGCCGUUCGGUUGACCAAACCGUCUUCGACGACGAGGAC
Molecule: ribosomal RNA, 427 nt
Filed under: uncultured soil bacterium
Lineage: Bacteria
Description: bacterial SSU rRNA
Rfam family: Bacterial small subunit ribosomal RNA
Source: RNAcentral